This is a long non-coding RNA of Nycticebus coucang (slow loris), 2912 nucleotides long. RefSeq lists it as uncharacterized. The transcript has 3 exons. Lineage: Eukaryota; Metazoa; Chordata; Mammalia; Primates; Lorisidae. The record is from RefSeq and is a predicted model, not a curated record.
AAUUACCAAUGCACACAUCGUUAAUCCUGAUUAUUUGCUACCACGGAGGAAGCACUUUUCCAUCUACCUGGCACAAACGGAAACUCGCCCCAGGACCCAUCUGCCCAAUUUCCCUAAAUGAGGGUGGCCAAUGCCACUUGCUACUGCGUGGACAAGGAAGAUGCAUGGCCAAGACUUGGAUUCCAACUAAGCCUGCUGGAUCCACGCUCCAGAGCAGUGAUUUUCAACUGGUGUGCUGUGGCACACUGUGUGCCAUGAAAAUUUUUAAAGCUCAUUAAAUUAUUUUCAAAAGAAGUUUAAGCAAAAAAAAGGCAACCAAAUGACAGGAAAUCAAAGCCCUUGGUCCCACCAGUACUGCACAAUGACCAGCGUCUGAUAUCUGACAGCAAACAACUCCGACUCCUUGGAUCUGCCUCCUCAAGGCCUACUCAGGAAUCAGGAACUUAAAACCGACCAAAAGCGAGCCUGUGAGCGCCAGGGCCCUGGAGCAUGAUGCAUGGCACAGCUGGAGGAGUCAGCAAGUAAGGGGUCCCGCCUAUGCCAAUUGGGUUGAUGGGGGAGUGCCGGAGAGACCGGCUGCAUUUACUCAAAUAGAUCCCCAAUCCUGAACUCCCCCACCCCCAUUAGAGACUGUAACAAGAAUAUUAUGAACUCAAGAUAGGGAAAAGAAGGGAAAGAAGGGUGCUUCAACUGCCCUACGAAUACAGUGAACUGAUAAUGAGAAAACAAGUGCAGUUUUCCUCCUUCCAAGAUCUUCAAGGGUGUGACAAGAAUGGACAGACAGCCCCUCUUAACUCUUCAGAGCAUAUUUCUUUUGGCUUCCAGAUACCACAGUGACUAAGGAUGCAGCUUCGAGAGCUAGGAGAUUAAGAGAAGUGGCUUCAAAGCCCUUCUCCAUUAGGUGCUGACGAAUCACUUAACCCCUGCCUCUGUAUGUCUCAUCUUUAAAAUGAGAUGCUACUAUUCCCGACCUUACAGCCCUGAGGUGAGGCAAUGUGGUAUAAACUGCUCAGCGGACGAACUGGCACACAAACUCAGUGAAUGACAGCUAUUAUAGUGAUUCUGACAAUUUCAACAAUAAGAAAAGUUUUUCACACCCUUCAACUGUUCAAAAUCUGAAGUGGAGAGAAAUGUAGGGACAUGGAGUGAUUUAAAACUAAUAUUUUAUGUUUGGCAAAGGUGAGGAAAUAAUUACACAAGUAAACUCUACUUUUGGCAGCUCUGGAGUCACACAAUAGAUAACAUUUAAACAAUGUGUAACUGAGUUCCACCAAAUAUGAACCAUCCCAAGCUUAUCCAUCUAACCAGGGCAUUGUAAUUCUUCUCUUUUAAAAGUUUAAGUCAGGAAGGACAGACAAAUAAUCAGUUAUUAAAGCAAACAGUCAAAUAAAGAAUCUCUCUUAAAAAAAUAGUGAACUUCAAAUAGCCAGGCGUUGUGGCGGGCGCCUGUAGUCCCAGCUGCUCGGGAGGCUGAGGCAAGAGAAUCGCAUAGGCCCAAGAGUUAAGAGGUUGCUGUGAGCCGUGUGACGCCACGGCACUCUACCCGAGGGCAGUACAGUGAGACUCUGUCUCUACAAAAAAAAAAUAGUCAACUUCGGCUCGGCGCCUGUGGCUCAAGUGGCUCAAGCGGCUAAGGCGCCAGCCACAUACACCUGAGCUGGCGGGUUCAACUCCAGCCCGGGCCUGCCAAACAAGAAUGACAGGUGCAACCAAAAUAUAGCCAGGCUUUGUGGCAGACGCCUGUAGUCCCAGCUCCUUGGGAGGCGGAGGCAAGAGAAUCGCUUGAGUCCAGGAGUUGGAGGUUGCUGUGAGCUGUGAUGCUACAGCACUCUACCCAGGGUGACAGCUUGAGGCUCUGUCUCAAAAAAAAUAGUCAACUUCAAAACACACCAAGUAGAAUGAUUUUAUCAAGCUGGUAAGGGUCUGACAUCUCCCUUCAAAGUUCAGGCAGACUGAAAGCCAUCGAUGGUCCUGCUAUACUUGUUGACAUUUGGCAUGUAAAAUGCUUGAAAAUGUCAUUUCAUUCAGAUGGUGUGUUUGCACAGACACGUAGCACUAAAACGGUACAUUCUUUCAGUGACAACCCGGGUUAAGCCUGGAAAAGAAGGGUGUAAUUAUGUCACCCCCAGUGUAAAACUGGUAAGAACCUCCAUGGAGUAUAAUAGGAGCUGGAGAUAUCCUAACUAGAGGACAGGGACCCAAAAUGCCACCAUCUUUAUAGAGAUCUGUGAAACAAUUGCAGCACCAUGUCAGGGGCAGGGAGUUGAAGUAGAAGUGUCAGGGGAUUCCCAUGUGACUUUCAACAAAUCCACUUGACCUUUCCAGGCCAUAUUGGAAGUGGAGCAACAUUGACUUGGCUGCCAGUUUGACAGAGUUUAUGAAAGGAUCAGGUUUUAUUUAUAUAGAGGUCGACAUCCUUAGCUCCAAAGUGUUUUCCUAUUAAUAAAACGAACAUGUCAAGAAGGUCAACUCAGAGGCCAGUGGUUACUCAUCCACUAGUGAAUCACCCGAUGGAUUCAUGUGUUAGGAGAUUAUGCAAGCCUUCAGAUUAGGCAGUCAAGAAAGGAAAACUUUAGGAAGUCACCUAGCCUGGACAUCCCUUCCUCUACUGAUCUCUCACUCCAGAUACAGCAGUCUAGUCAAUGGACCUGAAAUGGGCUGUACACCAGUUCAGAGCCACUUAGGUCCAUUCCAUAAAAACCAGUGCUCCCACCUAGCUAAUGACUUAGGUUAGGGCCCAGUAUAACUGCUUCUCCAUGAACCUCCCCAGCCCAGCACAACCUUAGAAAGAUUCCAUGUCUGAAUUCACAGCACACCUCUUUGACAACACUACAUAUGCCUACUGUUGGUCUUGUUGGCUUUGCAUACAUAUUAUGGCCUUUUUCAGAAUAAAGUCCAUGUCUGAAGACUAA